CUUCACAAACGAAGGUAACAACUUCUUUUAUAAACAACAAUUUUAUAAUUACUGAGCUUUUUUUCUUUUUCGUUUCUUUUCUUUUGUUGUAAAAAGGCACAGACGAAUUGCAGCAUUUAAAACAUGGACAACAGAAUACUGAAGCUACAGCAGCUGUUCUACAAAAAACAAAUCAGCUGAAACGUCACUGUCUUUCAGUGACAAACCUGUAUAAUGCAUCUGCAAAUACUAAAUGAUUUGCAUACUGUGAACUGAGACAGACACACAGUAGCCACAAAAGUGCUAUUUUUGAUUUAGGUUAACACUUGCAUGCUGCAGAUGCAAAUGUUUACCUUCUAACAGAGACUGAGCUCUCAAAACUGUGAUAUUAUUUUUUUUAUUUUCUUGACUUUAAUUUUUUUUUCUUUUUUGCAGGUGUGGAAACUCCCUGUUAUGGCAGACAGGAUAGAGCUCAGUGUUUUGGAGUUUUGGGAGGAAGUAUAGACAUACAGCUGAUGAACGGCACCUCAGAAAUACAUAAAUACAAAUAUUUAAAGAAUUCAUUAGUACUACUAUAUGUGUCAGACAAACAAGUUCAGGCUAAUACCAUAGGACACAGAUCUCUCAUUUUCCACGUUAAUGGAACAUUUAGGAUCAACAACUUGAGCAGCAAUGACAGUGGUAUUUAUACCCUUCAAACCUUUGAUGCAGCUGCAAGAUCAACAGGCGAGUGGACUUUACAGUUGUUUAUUCAAGCUCCUGUGUCCUCUGUCCUGCUGGUCUCUGAGUGUCUGUCCCAGGGAGAGAGGAGGGUGUCCUGCUCCUCUGAGGGAGGGGACAGUCCUCAGUACAGCUGGACUCUGGAUGGACGCACACUGACAGAUGCUGAGCUUCUUUCUGUAAAUAAUGAGA
This is a long non-coding RNA of Astatotilapia calliptera (eastern happy), 891 nucleotides long. NCBI's taxonomy places the organism in Eukaryota, Metazoa, Chordata, Actinopteri, Cichliformes, Cichlidae. The record is from Ensembl.